GCCGGGCACGAUGGUGCAUGCCUGUAAUCCCAGCAGUUCAGGAGGCUGAGGCAGGAGGAUCAUGGGUUCAAAGUCAGCUUCAGCAACUUAGUGAGGCCCUAAGUAACUCAGUGAGACCUGUCUCUA
RNAcentral lists this small RNA (126 nucleotides) under Marmota monax (woodchuck). Lineage: Eukaryota; Metazoa; Chordata; Mammalia; Rodentia; Sciuridae. The record is from RNAcentral.